Molecule: ribosomal RNA, 432 nt
Filed under: uncultured eukaryote
Lineage: Eukaryota
Description: bacterial SSU rRNA
Rfam family: Eukaryotic small subunit ribosomal RNA
Source: RNAcentral
CAGUAGCGUAUAUUAAAGUUGUUGCAGUUAAAAAGCUCGUAGUUGGAUUUCUGGCAUGAUGCGCCUGGCCCGCCUCGAUUACGAGUGUGUGUGCGAGCGCGCGUCUGCCAUCCAUUUGCAGAAUGUAUCUACCCUUCAUUGGGCCGGAUAUGUGAUGUAAAUCUUUUACUUUGAAAAAUUAGAGUGUUUAAAGCAGGCAUUUGCUAUGAAUACAUUAGCAUGGAAUAAUAAUCUAGGACUUCGGUUCUAUCUUGUUGGUUUCUAGAUCUGAAGUAAUGAUUGAUAGGGAUAGUUGGGGGUGCUAGUAUUAAGGGGCCAGAGGUGAAAUUCUUGGAUUCGGUCAAGACUAACUUAUGCGAAAGCAUUCACCAAGGAUGUCUUCUUUAAUUCAAGAACGAAAGUUAGGGGGAGUCGAAGACGAUUAGAUACCAU